RNAcentral lists this unclassified non-coding RNA (379 nucleotides) under uncultured bacterium. RNAcentral describes it as "contains 16S-23S intergenic spacer region". The record is from RNAcentral.
UCCGGUUUGUCACCGGCAGUCUCCUUAGAGUUCCCGCCAUUACGCGCUGGCAACUAAGGACAAGGGUUGCGCUCGUUGCGGGACUUAACCCAACAUCUCACGACACGAGCUGACGACAGCCAUGCAGCACCUGUCUCACGGUUCCCGAAGGCACCCGCCCAUCUCUGAAGGAUUCCGUGGAUGUCAAGGCCAGGUAAGGUUCUUCGCGUUGCAUCGAAUUAAACCACAUGCUCCACCGCUUGUGCAGGCCCCCGUCAAUUUCUUUGAGUUUUAGCCUUGCGGCCGUACUCCCCAGGCAGAGCACUUAAUGCGUUAGCUGCGGCACCGGAGGGGUCGAUACCCCCGACACCUAGUGCUCACCGUUUACGGCGUGGACUAC